Molecule: unclassified non-coding RNA, 226 nt
Filed under: Hevea brasiliensis (rubber tree)
Lineage: Eukaryota; Viridiplantae; Streptophyta; Magnoliopsida; Malpighiales; Euphorbiaceae
Source: RNAcentral
AAACAAGGCCAGAUAUAAUUUGAUUAUUGUGAACAAAAUCAAUAUCUUCAUAGAUAGAGCCAAUCAUUAUCGUCGACUGUAGGGUGGAUGGAAUCUGAUACAUAAGUCAAUUAACAAAAGAACAGAAGAAACUUCUCAUUCUACAUCGUGCAUGCGCCGACUUAUUUUUGGUCCUCCUUAAUAUGCAACUAGUACUCUAUGCCUUACAACUUGAUAGCAUCAAAUU